Molecule: ribosomal RNA, 274 nt
Filed under: uncultured bacterium
Lineage: Bacteria
Description: partial 16S ribosomal RNA
Rfam family: Bacterial small subunit ribosomal RNA
Source: RNAcentral
AUACGGAGGGUGCAAGCGUUACUCGGAAUCACUGGGCGUAAAGGAUGCGUAGGCGGAUAAUCAAGUCAAAAGUGAAAUCCCACGGCUUAACCGUGGAACUGCUUUCGAAACUGGUUAUCUAGAAUAUGGAAGAGGCAGAUGGAAUUAGUGGUGUAGGGGUAAAAUCCGUAGAGAUCACUAGGAAUACCGAUUGCGAAGGCGAUCUGCUGGGACAUUAUUGACGCUGAGGCAUGAAAGCGUGGGGAGCAAACAGGAUUAGAUACCCUAGUAGUCC